CUGACCCCGGAACGUUCUUCACAGAGCCUCAACCACACCGUGGGUACCACACACAUUUCGUCAACAACGCUCUUACAUCCGUCAUCUGAACAACAAUCUUGAGAACUUGUCUACCUCGUCGAGAUGGCUUUCAGAUGUGUAGUUGCUUUGCCUAUCUUCCUUGUGCUGAUGAAAAUAGUGAUUUCUUGCGAGCACUGCACAGAAAUUACACGGCCUGGAGCAAGGGGGCAAAUGGUUGUUAACGACACUAUCAGCAACCUUCAAGCCAUUAUGAAAGGGGUCAUUGGGAAAGACGUCAGUGUAUUUCUGUUUCGCAUCGCCUGUGUGGAGUCCAAGUUUGGUACGGAUAAAAACACGUAUCGUUCUGGCUACCAUGGAGGUAUCUGGCAGGUAGAUGAGAUAGCGUUCAACGACACUCAAGACACUGGUAGCCAUUCUAAGUUGAGUGGCAAGCAUAAAAUUAUACUAAAGAUCUGUGGAAUUGACUGGACCAUGGUUACCUGGAAGCACCUGAGGAAGCCCCUCUAUUCAGGCAUGGCUGCUUUGCUUUUUAUGUCCAACAAACCAUUUAACAUCCCUGAUGAUCUUAACGGUCAAGCUGAGUAUUGGAAGAAAUACUACAAUACAGCAAGCGGGAGUGGAACGGUGCAGAAAUUCAAGGACGACGUUAGGGGACCAGAUUGCAUGUAGUAUUUGAAGUUAAUUGAUAUCAUGUAUCAUUUUUCAUUAUUCAUUUAGUUCAUACUAAAUGCUAUAAAUCCAUUACACAGUGUACAGUAAGAAAGGCAAGGGAUGUUAGUUAAUUUCAGGACAACCAUUAAAUCACUCUCCUCAGUCAUGCAACUAUUAUUAUACCAUAACGGAAUUGAGAAUUAGGCGUGUGGUCAUUAGCGCGUAGCUGCGACUCAUGUUUACAAAAAACGACAUUACUUAGUAUUUGCUUUUAAUUCUACCUUUUACGUAUACAGAAUUUCAGGAUACAGUGACGUUUAUUGUACUCAGAUAGGAAAGUUCCUAGUUUUGUUCUUGUCUCUACAUAUCGUUUACAUCAUUUUUACACAGAGACACAUUUGAAUCAAAUAAUAAAUAUUUUGGGGUUAACUUUUUGGGAAAAUCACGGUAUGUUAUGUGUGGACGACAAAUUGGUGAAAUCAAUAUGACUUAUUUAGUGAAAUCGCUGAGCAACAUCAUCUUAUGAAAAUACAUACUCUGACAUCUGACAUCAUUAAAACAAUCUCUCAAUACAAUGCUUUUAAAGAAUGGUAUGUUUUCCAAUACUAUAUUUCAAUUUUGUUUUAAACUGUGGUCUUAAGGUCAAACCAUAAUCUCAACUAUGUGUUGCUGGUCAAUGGUCUCACCAAACAAAAUUCAUUAUUCUCGUAAUCAGUUCAACCAGUAAUGCCUUAGUUGCAGAAUUUCCAUGUGAUCGACCUUUUUUUAUUUGAAGAUUAAAUGGCACAUUUAAUUUAGUUUAUAAGACUUUGUUCCCAAAGACCUAUCUGAAUAUCCCUUACACUGCCGUAACAUGCUGGAACAAGCUAAACAAGGCACAAGACGGUUACUUAUUAUGCAAGGGGCACGCUGUGUUUGGAACACAUCCAUUGGCUAUCAGACACAUGCCACGUGCGUCAGUGUACACGAUUGGCCAAAAGUUUUAUCAUAGUAACAUGCGUGUAAUUUCAUCACAAACGCCUUUCCCGUCGUAUGUCAGAGAGCUAACCAUCAUGUUCACAACUGCAUUCUUUUGAUAGUAAUAGGUGUCGUUUUCUCUUCCACCACAAUCCCCACAUUCACCGGGUAUGUGACUAUGGUUUGCUUCUUUUAUUUUCCUUGGGACUCAGAAUUUUCUCUGCAAGCAGUCGUAUCAGCCCCCCAAACCACGGGUUACAACUGGUCAUAUGCUAGCACAUUCAAGUUAUGGAGGAUGUGCAGAGGUUAAAAGAGUUUUGUUCUGGUGCUACCAGAUACGCGUUGACUCAAAAUUAUUGUUUUAACUGAGGUCUACAUAAAGAGAGUGAGAUAACAUUAAAUCUGACUCAAGAGUUUUUAAUGAUUAGCGACGAACAAAAGUGGCAUCCAAUUUAGUUUAGGAUAUUUUCAAGAUGUAUUUUUUUUGCGUUGGGGAGAUGAGCAGAGAUGACAGUGCUUAUUAAUAUACGUUGGGUAAGGACAAAACCGUUUAGGAUAUAAACUAUAUAAGCUAGCAUAUGACCGUUAUAUAUAGUUUAGGAUACUUUUAAAAUGUGAAGGCUAAAACAACAUAAUAGCUGAUUACAUUACAAGAUUCGCAAAUAGGAGACAAAAUGGAUGAAUCAAUUUGUUUACUGUUACUCAAGGUAAAACUAUAUGAACACCAACUAUAUAUUUAAGAUAAAUAACGAAUAAAAGGCUCAGGGGCCCCCAA
Molecule: long non-coding RNA, 2404 nt
Filed under: Acanthaster planci (crown-of-thorns starfish)
Lineage: Eukaryota; Metazoa; Echinodermata; Asteroidea; Valvatida; Acanthasteridae
Description: uncharacterized LOC110983155
Source: RNAcentral